This is a long non-coding RNA of Ceratina calcarata, 519 nucleotides long. RefSeq lists it as uncharacterized. The record is from RefSeq and is a predicted model, not a curated record. NCBI's taxonomy places the organism in Eukaryota, Metazoa, Arthropoda, Insecta, Hymenoptera, Apidae. The transcript has 3 exons.
GUUUGCGGGUGGCAGAUUAUGUGCCAUAUCUGUAUUCGUAAUACCAACUUGGUUUCAAAGAGAUUCGCAUAUUAUUCAAAGAAGUCGGGUUUGCAUUGGUAAUGGGUAUUUCCACGUAUAGUAUUCUAUCGGAUGUAGAAAGUUUGUUUGCUUCUUUCUUUAGGAACGAUUCGAGCCUGUGUUUGCAACAGAAGAUGGACUCUUAAAUGUUAUUUGCAGCAGAGAGAUGGACUCCUCAAUGUUAUGGAUGAGUAUAUUAAGAGACUAAAGAUCCUGCUUGUAAGAGGGCCCUCUUAUGGUGGUUUCUGUAAUGGAUUUGCCCCUGUUGACGCGAAUGAAGAUGCUUCAGUCAGUUUAGACUCGUGUUAUGUGGGAUGAAAAUGGCACGACACAUUGUGCAUCAGUGUUAGGAGCCUUUGAUUGUGGGGUCAUCAUUCUACGUUUUUCUGCCAGUUUAUAAUGGUUCCGGGUUUUCAACGAUAGUCCUCGUCCGGGGAAGAUUUACUAGACUUGGUGUCG